This 19-nucleotide small RNA is filed under the name Arabidopsis thaliana (thale cress). Its description in RNAcentral is "Ath_wt_10261". The record is from RNAcentral. Lineage: Eukaryota; Viridiplantae; Streptophyta; Magnoliopsida; Brassicales; Brassicaceae.
GCUGAUUGGCGGGAUCCCU